GGUGUUGUGCCGGAGUAAACGGGUUGCGUUGAUGAUGCAAAAUAUAAGAGUAUUUUCUUCUUCACUU
Molecule: transfer RNA, 67 nt
Filed under: Puncturella cf. parvinobilis
Lineage: Eukaryota; Metazoa; Mollusca; Gastropoda; Lepetellida; Fissurellidae
Description: tRNA-Ile
Source: RNAcentral